CUCAGCUGCAGCAUGCACAGCCCCGUCAGUGAGGAAGAUGUUCAACACCUGCUUAAAUGUCUUGACGGAAGAAACAUCAAUGAGUGAGGAAGGAAGACAUAAGGGCAAACAGUCCGGUACAGCUGGGAUUGCAGGUCACUUAAAAGAAAUUAUCCUGUUUGUAAGCAUCGAAAUACAUCUGGGAUGCCUGUCUUCAGAAACAUUCUUUAUAAAUGUUAACCAGACAAAUAUCUGUGGAGUAACACCUAGGCGAAACUACCUGGAGGCAUCUGGAUUUUCUCAUAAGGAAGUCUUCUCAGUCUGGGACACAUUAUACGGGUAAAUUGUUUUUUAUAUUCUUUUAUUAUUUUUUCAUCUAUACC
This 362-nucleotide long non-coding RNA is filed under the name Struthio camelus australis. RNAcentral's name for it is "lncRNA (ENSSCUG00000011101.1)". Lineage: Eukaryota; Metazoa; Chordata; Aves; Struthioniformes; Struthionidae. The record is from RNAcentral.